GUCAAAAAAAAUCUAGAAUUGUUAAAACCUAUUUUUCUAAGGAAAUUGUUUGAUGGAUGAGUUUGUUAGAUGGAAAAAAAGUUUUUUGAAGAUAAAUUUAAGUAUUGUUGUGUAUGCAUUGUUCAUCUCGGAGAACUUCUUGAGUGCCUUUUGAUGUACGUCUUUCCAACUGCUUCAGAGAAACUCAACUAUUCGAGUCCUGAUGAAGGAUCUGUAAAGAUCCGAAACGUCGACUAAGAAUAAAUGUAGUAUUCAGAA
This is a long non-coding RNA of Coccinella septempunctata (seven-spotted ladybird), 258 nucleotides long. RefSeq lists it as uncharacterized. The transcript has 2 exons. The record is from RefSeq and is a predicted model, not a curated record. Lineage: Eukaryota; Metazoa; Arthropoda; Insecta; Coleoptera; Coccinellidae.